UUAGAAGAUUUGCCUAUCAAGA
This 22-nucleotide non-coding RNA is filed under the name Arabidopsis thaliana (thale cress). The record is from RNAcentral. Lineage: Eukaryota; Viridiplantae; Streptophyta; Magnoliopsida; Brassicales; Brassicaceae.